Molecule: ribosomal RNA, 497 nt
Filed under: uncultured bacterium
Lineage: Bacteria
Description: partial 16S ribosomal RNA
Rfam family: Bacterial small subunit ribosomal RNA
Source: RNAcentral
GAUGAACGCUGGCGGCGUGCCUAAUACAUGCAAGUCGAGCGAACAGACGAGGAGCUUGCUCCUCUGACGUUAGCGGCGGACGGGUGAGUAACACGUGGAUAACCUACCUAUAAGACUGGGAUAGCUUCGGGAAACCGGCGCUUAUACCGGAUAAUAUAUUGAACCGUAUGGUUCAAUAGUGAAAGACGGCUUUGCUGUCACUUCUAGCUGGAUCCGCGCUGCAUUAGCUAGUUGGUAGGGUAAAGGCUUACCAAGGCGACGAUGCGUAGCCGACCUGAGAGGGUGGUCGGCCACAUGGGAACUUGAACACGGUCCAUACUCCUGCGGGACGCAGCAGUAUGGAACCUGCCGCAAUGGGCGAGAGCCUUGCGGAGCGACGCCGCGUGAGUUAUGGAGAUCCUCGGAUCGUAAAACUCUGUUAUUAGUGAAAAACAAAUUUGUAAGUAACUAUGCACGUCUUGACGGUACCUAGUCAGAAAGCCACGGCUAACUACGUG